RNAcentral lists this unclassified non-coding RNA (379 nucleotides) under plant metagenome. RNAcentral's name for it is "partial contains 5.8S ribosomal RNA, internal transcribed spacer 2, and large subunit ribosomal RNA". The stretch from base 1 to 106 matches the Rfam family "5.8S ribosomal RNA", at positions 49 to 154 of the family's 154-position model. The record is from RNAcentral.
CGAACUGCGAUAAGUAAUGUGAAUUGCAGAAUUCAGUGAAUCAUCGAAUCUUUGAACGCACCUUGCGCUCCUUGGUAUUCCUUGGAGCAUGCCUGUUUGAGUAUCAUGAAAUCUUCAAAGUAAAUCUUUUGUUAACUCAAUUGGUUUCUACUUUGGUAUUGGAGGUCUUUGCAGCUUCACACCUGCUCCUCUUUGUUCAUUAGCUGGAUCUCAGUGUUAUGCUUGGUUCCACUCGGCGUGAUAAGUUAUCUAUCGCUGAGGACACUGUAAAAGGUGGCCAAGGUAAAUGCAGAUGAACCGCUUCUAAUAGUCCAUUGACUUGGGCAAUACUUUUAUGAUCUGAUCUCAAAUCAGGUAGGACUACCCGCUGAACUUAAGC